This 101-nucleotide small RNA is filed under the name Epilithonimonas bovis DSM 19482. RNAcentral's name for it is "Chryseobacterium bovis DSM 19482 Flavo-1 RNA". It matches the Rfam family "Flavo-1 RNA". The record is from RNAcentral. Lineage: Bacteria; Pseudomonadati; Bacteroidota; Flavobacteriia; Flavobacteriales; Weeksellaceae.
UUGUAUUCCGCAAUAGGGAUGGGAGUGGCAUCCUUUUGCUUUUUUGGCUAAGGAAAUGGGUUGGGCAAAAGGAAAAGAUAUAACGGACAGCCCGACCCGAG